GGCGGGGCCGAGGGGCGGCGGGGGCGUGGCUGCAGGGCGCGGCCGGGCAGGCGGCAGGGACGUGGUGGAGGGGCGCGGCGCGGCGGGUGCAGGAGGGCGGGUCCGCGCCCCGCCGUCCGGCUCCGCGGCUCCGCGGCUCUGCAGCGCGGGUUGGCGUUCAUAAAGAAAUCGAGUCCGGGGCCGCCUGGGCGGCCCAGGGCGUGCCCCCGGGGUCCCGGGAUGGAGUCCCGCGUCGGGCUCCCCGCAGGGAGCUGCUCCUCCCUCUGCCUGGGCCUCCGCCUCUUUCCGUGUCUCCCAUUAACUAAUUAAAAGAAAGAAGGCAGGCUUUUCGUUCUGAAAUGAUGCGUUUACCCCCGACCCGGGCACGGCCGUCGUGUCUGCGCACGUGGGGGCGGCGAGCGAGCUGUGCUGAGCCUCCUGUGCUGGCGGGACCCGAGGGCCGGACGGGAGGCCCCGCCCGUGUGUCCCCGUCGCCCCGAGCGGCCCACAGGGGGCGGGAGAGGCCCGGGCCCAGCUGCAGCGAAGGCCGCCCCAAGGUCCUGGGGUGACCGGGUCGGAGCGGGAGGCCCGGCCCUGCAGCCCCGCAGCCCUGCAGCCCCGCAGCCCCGCAGCCCUGCGCCCCGCCUGGGCCGGUGCCCAACGGCCCCCCAGGAACGGGGCGCCACGGGAGGGGGAACCCCCGCAACCAGGGGAGGCUCCAGGGCGGCACGGGGACCUCGGGGACGGGGAUCCCCGGGUCCGGACGAGGCCCCGCCCUGCCCCCCGGGCCCUGCUGGUCACCUUGCUGCUGAGAUCACCGGAACACAGUUUCUGGACUGGUUCCCAUCCGACUCCGGCCUGCUGUGAGCUCCCUGAACUACAGCUGAAGAAAUAGAAGAUUGAUACCUGAAUGCAUUAAAGAGAAGGUGAAUGGGAUUCUAGUAAUGAUAAUGUCACAGAGGACUGGUCUUUCUUUCUGGGUGUUGGCUUUAAUAUUUUUAAACAUUUUAUGUAUUAAUUUUUUUAAAAAGAUUUUACAUAUUUACCGCAGACAGACACACAGAGGGAGAGAGAGAGAGGCAGAGACACAGGCAGAGGGAGAAGCAGGCUCCACGCAGGGAGCCCGAAGUGGGACUCGAUCCCGGGUCUCCAAGAUCAUGCCCUGGGCUGAAGGCAGACACCUAACCCACUGAGCCACCCAGGGAUCCCCCUUAUUAAUUUUAGAGAGGCGGGGAGCAGAGGCAGAGGGAGAGGCAGGGUCCCCGCUGAGCAGGGAGCCUGACCUGGGGCUCAGUGGCUGGACCCUGGGAUCACGACCUGAGAGGCUAGGCAGAUGGUAACCAACUGAGCCUCCCAGGUGCCCCUUGGCCUUAAUUUUGACCCAAAUUCUUCACAUUCUCUGUCAAACUGAGAAAGAUCUAGCAGGUUUUUCCUGCCACGUGCAUUUUCCUUCUCUUCCUCCUUGCCUUGCUGGUCGCUGCUUUAUAUACUUUCCUCAGAGAGAAGUGUUUCCCUAUGCUCAUUCCAUCCUCAGAAAAAAACACUUCAUGACUGACUUCAUCCCUGUUCACUUCUCAAUGAGAAAAAUAUUGCUAGGUUUCUUGGAAAUAAAUACAACAUUACUUAUUGAUCCAGUUUUCCUGGUAUAUAAGCUAUUGGCUAUAAAUUAGUUGGCCUGCUUUUAGCAGUUGCAUUAAUUCUUUUGGGCCAGUUGAGUACCAUUUAGUGCACAAACAGCAAGAAAAGUUAAAUUUACAGCAUUGCACACUGCAACCAUUAAUCUAGAUCAACACAUUCUAGGGAUCGCUUCCUCCUUUCCUCCUCUUUAUAUAGUUUUCAUCUGGACUAUGAAUAGGACUUCUUUUCCUGGGCAAAGAAGUAUUAUCUUCAAAGUUUUCAGAUUCUUUUUUUUUAAUUCUUUUUUUUUUUUUUUUAAGAUUUUAUUUAUCCAUGAGAGACACACAGACAGAGGGAGAAAGCAGGCUCUCUGAGGGGAGCCCGAUGUGGAACUCAAUCCCAGGACCCUGGGGUCACGCCUUGGGUUGAAGGCAACCACUCUAUCACUGAACCCCACAGGCGUCCAGUUUUCAAAUCCUUGAUUAAUAAUUGUAAAAAUCUUAUAACCUUCAGUGAAAUUCCUGAUGUGCACAUUCUUUUUGUUUUUCUUCCACAACUCUUGGUUCACAUGAGCUUAGCUUAAUUCUAUUACAUAGCAAAUGCUCUGUGAGAGUAAACUUUAUGUAGGCGGUAAUAAUGAAUUUGAAAUUAUCAAACAUCUGAUUUUAUCUCCAAUUGUUUUCUAUGGGACCUCUCAUUUGUCAUAAUCAAUAUUUUUUUCUGGCUUCAUGGUGACCUGCUAUAAUACUGAAUAAUAAAUGCAAUUUUCCUGGCAAAGUUCAUCUAAAUAGUACUACUUGAACUUAAAAUUAUUAAAUAAACUCACUUCUCUUUACGUUUCCUCUGAUGGUUAAUUUUAUGUGUUAAAUUGGCUAGGCCAGGGGAUCCCUGGGUGGCUCAGCGGUUUGGCGCCUGCUUUUGGCCCAGGGCGCGAUCCUGGAGUCCCGGGAUCGAGUCCCACGUCGGGCUCCCUGCAUAGAGCCUGCUUCUCCCUCUGCCUGUGUCUCUGCGUCUCUCUUUCUCUGUGUCUAUCAUAAAUGAAUAAAUAAAUAAAUCUUUUUAAAAAAUUGGCUAGGCCAUGGUACCCUAGUUUUUUGUCAAGCACCCAUCUAGAUGUUGUUAUGGAAGUAAUCUUCAGGUGUGAUUCGUGUUUAAAUCAAUAGACUUUGAGUAGAGCAGGAUACUCUCUGUAAUAAGUCCCAUCCAAUGAGUUGAAGGCCAUAAAAGAAAGAGUGAAGUCUUGGAGGAAGAAGGAAUUCUGCUAGUGGGUUGCCUUGAGACGUGAGACUGUAGCAUCAACGGAAUCCCAGGGUCUCCAGCCUGCCAGUCUAUCCCACAGAUUUCAGACUUCCACACCCA
Molecule: long non-coding RNA, 2955 nt
Filed under: Canis lupus familiaris (dog)
Lineage: Eukaryota; Metazoa; Chordata; Mammalia; Carnivora; Canidae
Description: lncRNA (ENSCAFG00040011626.1)
Source: RNAcentral